GUUAAUAACACAGGUGUGAUACCAACAUCUCUAGUAUAACUUGUUCUCUGCCGCCGUUUGGUACCGUUAUGUUCAAUUCUAACGCUGCCAUUUUUUGUGAGCUUAACAAAUCAGGCAUAGGGGAGAUCAAGAGGAAUUCCACCUGCCUAGAGCAUAGUCGAUGACUUCGACGUCACCCGCGCCCACCCCAUGUUCGCUCGGGAGACCACGACGGCUAAAUCGUCGUCCGCUUCGUCUUGGAAAAUCCACAAGGUCCGCGUCGGCGGCUGCCCCGUGCCGAGGCGGUGGCAGAGAUGCCCCGCACAAGCAACAUGGAGCCGGCAUUUCAGCGAGCACCUAAGGGGCGUCCUGAAUAAGCUUGCACCAGCAACCUAAGUACCUAAUGGACACCAGGGGGGCGCACUAAUCGACUGGUGGCACGACAGCAAGCCGGCGGGAGGGAGAAAGGAUCACCUGAGUGCCCGCCCUCGUCUUCCUUGGCUCCGGCCAAGGCCCGGUGCCGCCGUUUUUUCCUCUAUCCUGAGGUUAGUCUCUACUCACAAGUCACAAAUUGUGCUUACCUGGGGCAUACCAUUGAUGCGGCGAUCACAUACCUGGUAAAAAAUGGAUUGCACUCCAAGCUCUCGUUGUAAAUCUGAAGCAACGAGCAAAGUGCAUACUAGCUGCAAAGGGGAGGGGGGAUAUUUAGACAGACAAGUCUUACAUGAUUUACAUGUUGCUAUUCCAAGUCAACAAUAGUACCAUACAGCUUUCGCUGCGGACAGGACUUCUCUGCCUUUAGACAAGUCUUCUUUUUUGCUUUCCAGCUAAAGUCACCAUCAGAGCAGAAAUUGGCUUUUGUGUACACAAAUAUUCCCUUCGUCUCAAAAUAAGUGUCUCAAUCUUAGUACAAUUUUGGCUUUUGUGUACGAUGUGAGGGCUGCUUCUGGGAGGCUACUGGACGUGGCUGUUGGGAUGUGAGAGCCAGACAGGACCAAACUUCUUUGGCGAAUGGGCAAUGCAGAAUCAAAUGGUUUGCAAUUGGAGCACUUGAUCACAGAGCUUGCAAGCAUCAUCAUGGUCCAUCCCAAUUCCCAAGGCUGUUAGUCGAUCAGCUGCACAGGAACCAUAUGGAGAACUGUCACUUUCCUUCCACCUUGGCUCUCCACUCAAUGAAUUCUGCUUCUGUGGACUUCUAGCGAGAAAUUGGAAAUCAUAAGCAGUCUUUGCUGAAUACUGCCCAUCGGUGGUAAGCUUCCUGGAAACUGAGCUUGGUUGUUGACCGAGAACGACACUCUGGGUCAAGUUUCAAAGUCCAAGGCAGUGCAUCAGUUGAGCUGGAAUGAAUAAAAUAGGCAAGCAGUCUAUCAAGGGAGAAAACGCCCAGUCAAUCCUCUCUUAAUUUUCAACACUAGUGACUAGUAUGCAUUCUGUUAACUGAUCCAUCAUUCAGAACUAUAAUGGCGUUGGGUGUGUGUACCUUUCAAAUAGCCUAGAUAGUGUAAAAGAAGGAGCCUUACUAAUUUGAGGUGGAGUCCUGUUGCUUGCCAGCCUAAAAACCUCUAUAUCCAAGCACCACCACGAGUUACUCACAAAGUUCAAACUCCCAUGCUCCUUCCAGCUCUGGGUGGCUGGGUAUUCUUCCAAGCUCCCAUCCAUGGCUCCUCUUGCCUUCCUCCUCCUAUUCGGCCAAAUCCUACUCUGCACAGCCAUCGACACCAUCAACUCCACCACACCGUUGUCCGGGUCACAGAAGAUUGUGUCCCAGGGCAGCAAGUUCACCUUGGGCUUCUACUCUCCACCACAAGGUAAGACCACCACUUUCCGCUACUACAUAGCCAUAUGGUAUAGCACUGUACCACUGGUGACCACCGUGUGGACGGCAACCACCGACGUGGUGGUGUCUGACCCGACCACCGCCUCCUUGGAAAUUGCCGGCGACGGCAAUCUUGUCCUCCGUCAUAUAGCCACGAACCGGCAGCUAUGGUCGACUAAUUUAAGUAUAGCCUCCAACUCCACCAUGGCCAUCAUCAGGGACAGCGGUAGCCUGGAACUAACCGAUGCCUCCAAUUCAUCCAUGGUUUAUUGGCAAAGCAUAGACCAUCCCACGAACACCUUUCUUCCAGGGUCCAAGCUCGGGCUGAACAAAACUACGGGUCUGAGCCAGAAGCUUGUUCCUUGGAAGAACAACGUAGACCCAUCUCCUGGGUUGUUCUCUCUGGAGCUUGACCCCAAUGGCAGCACGCAGUACUUCAUUCGGUGGAAUGAAUCCGUAAACUACUGGACCAGUGGCCUCUGGGACGGCAAUAGAUUCAGCCAUAUGCCAGAGAUGACGGCCGAUUACGUUUACGACUUCCAAUUCGUCAACAACGCCAAAGAAAGCUACUUCUACUACUCGAUGAAGAAUGAUUUAGUAGUCUCGCGGUUCAUCAUUGACGUGACCGGACAGAUCAAGCAGCUGUCAUGGUUGGAUUCCAGACAGCAGUGGGUCUUGUUCUGGGCCCAGCCACGGACUCAGUGUGAGGUGUAUGCUCUCUGUGGGGCAUACGGCUGCUGCAGCCUUGAUGCCCUGCCGUACUGCAACUGUGUCAAGGGGUUCAGCCAGAAGGUUCAGAGUGACUGGGAUCUCCAGGAUUAUAGUGGUGGGUGCAAGAGGAACACACCAUUGCAGUGCCAGACCAACUCGACUUCUGCACAAACUCCGUCUGAUAAGUUCCAUCUCAUGGAAGAUGUGCGCCUACCUGAUAACGCUCAGGGUGCAGUGUCUACAAGCUCUCAGGAAUGUGAGGUGGUUUGUCUGAAUAGUUGCUCUUGCACAGCUUACACUUACAAUUACACUGGGUGCUUUGUUUGGCAUGGGGACCUGAUUAAUCUCCAAGAACAAUACAGGGGAAUUGGAGGAGGCACACUCCUCCUCAGGCUUGCAGCAUCCGAGCUGCCAGAUCAGCAAAGGAACAAAACAAUGGUCAUUGGUUCAAUUGUUGGUGGGGUUGCUGCAGUUUUGAUAACCCUUGCAAUUGUGUUGUUCUUUCUAUCUCGGACGUGCCGCCGAGACAGGACUUUUCGGAUAUCCAAGACUGACUUCAGAUACAGUGAUCUGCUGGAUGAUAUUCAAAGCAUUGAUUCACUUCUUCUUGAUCUGUCAACACUAAGAGUAGCUACAAAUGACUUUGGUGAAGGAACUAUGCUUGGUAAAGGAGGUUUUGGGAUGGUUCAUAAGGGAGUCCUGCCUGACGGUAAACAAAUAGCAGUAAAAAGGCUAUGUAAGAGUUCCAAACAAGGAAUAGGGGAACUGAAAAGUGAACUAGUCCUGGUUGCUAAGCUUCGCCACAGGAAUCUUGUGAGCCUCAUUGGUGUUUGUUUGGAAGAACAAGAGAAAAUACUUGUGUAUGAAUUUAUGCCCAACAGAAGCCUUGAUACCAUUCUUUUUGGUACAACUUUUUCACUCCGAGCUUUAAUAGUAGUAGUGCAAGUGCCACCAAACUUUCACUGCAAUGCUGAUACUUCUAUUCUGAAUGACAGAUUCUGAGAAAUGCAAAGACCUAGACUGGGGAAGGAGAUUCAAGAUUAUCAGUGGAGUUACUAGGGGAUUACAAUAUCUCCACGAAGAUUCUCAAUUGAAGAUAGUUCACCGGGACCUGAAAGCAAGCAAUAUUUUGUUGGACCUCGAUUGUAACCCUAAGAUUUCUGACUUUGGCUUAGCAAAGAUAUUUGGAGGGGAUCAAUCAGAAGAUGUCACUAGACGUAUUGCCGGGACAUAUGGAUAUAUGUCGCCUGAAUAUGCCAUGCAUGGUCAAUACUCAGCAAAGUCGGACGCGUUCAGCUUCGGUGUUUUAGUUUUGGAGAUCGUCACGGGAAGAAGAAACAACGGCUCCUGCAACUCCGGGCAAUAUGUUUAUCUCGUAAAUCUUGUAUGGGAACACUGGACCAGGGGAAAUGUUGUCGAGUUGAUCGAUCCAUCCCUUAGCGGCCAUCCUUCUCACGUUGACCAGGUGCUGAAAUGCAUCCGAAUCGGGCUGCUGUGUGUGCAGAACAGACCUGAAGAUAGGCCGACAAUGUCGUCCGUGAAUGUCAUGCUCAGCAACCAGAGUGCUCGUCUCCCUUCUGUUUCCAUGCCAGCCUUCUCUGACGGAUGUAGUGGAUGCAGUGAUAAUACUUCAAAAGUGGCGUCCUCGAAUGGAAUGACCAUCACAAAGCUCGAGCCAAGAUGAGGCUUGAAGCAUUUGCUGAAACCAGCUUGUACUAGUGUUACUUUACUGUCUUUUAGAGAUGAGCUUGAUGUACCUGGUGCGUAUGUUUCAUGGUUAUGAUGAAAAGUCUUACACGCCUCCAAGGUUAUCUUCAGUGUCAGUUUUGCUGUGGAAUGGGAUUAUGGUAUUGCUGCUGGAGAAAAUGUCAGUAGUAUUAUUAGCUGUGAUAUGCGGCUCAUACAAAUGCAUGUACAUCAAUAGUUAAUUUGCAGCCUUUCCAUUUUGGCUAUCUUCUAAUAUUAGCUUUCGUUCUGUAAAA
Molecule: RNA transcript, 4488 nt
Organism: Triticum aestivum (bread wheat)
Lineage: Eukaryota; Viridiplantae; Streptophyta; Magnoliopsida; Poales; Poaceae
Gene name: G-type lectin S-receptor-like serine/threonine-protein kinase At4g27290
Exons: 4
Source: RefSeq, a predicted model, not a curated record